GUACUGAGACACGGACCAGACUCCUACGGGAGGCAGCAGUGGGGAAUAUUGCACAAUGGGGGCAACCCUGAUCCAGCAAUGCCGCGUGAGUGAAGAAGGCCUUCGGGUUGUAAAGCUCUUUUGUCAGGGAAGAGACAGCAGCUCUAACACAGUCUGCGAAUGACGGUACCUGAAGAAUAAGCACCGGCUAACUACGUGCCAGCAGCCGCGGUAAUACGUAGGGUGCAAGCGUUAAUCGGAAUUACUGGGCGUAAAGCGUGCGCAGGCGGUUAUACAAGACAGGCGUGAAAUCCCCGGGCUUAACCUGGGAAUGGCGUCUGUGACUGUAUGACUAGAGUGUGUCAGAGGGGGGUAGAAUUCCACGUGUAGCAGUGAAAUGCGUAGAUAUGUGGAGGAAUACCAAUGGCGAAGGCAGCCCCCUGGGAUAACACUGACGCUCAUGCACGAAAGCGUGGGGAGCAAACAGGAUUAGAUACCCUGGUAGUCCACGCCCUAAACGAUGCCGACUAGUCGUUGGGAAUUUACAUUCUCAGUAACGUAGCUAACGCGUGAAGUCGGCCGCCUGGGGAGUACGGUCGCAAGAUUAAAACUCAAAGGAAUUGACGG
RNAcentral lists this ribosomal RNA (606 nucleotides) under uncultured Pseudomonadota bacterium. RNAcentral describes it as "bacterial SSU rRNA". It matches the Rfam family "Bacterial small subunit ribosomal RNA", at positions 316 to 916 of the family's 1533-position model. Lineage: Bacteria; Pseudomonadati; Pseudomonadota. The record is from RNAcentral.